This is a long non-coding RNA of Carassius carassius (crucian carp), 395 nucleotides long. RefSeq lists it as uncharacterized. The record is from RefSeq and is a predicted model, not a curated record. Lineage: Eukaryota; Metazoa; Chordata; Actinopteri; Cypriniformes; Cyprinidae. The transcript has 3 exons.
AAGUUCCUGGCUUCUCCCAAGACCUUCAAGGACCCAACUGACCUCUGAAUCAGCUGUAAAGGAGGAAGAAACCGAUUGUCUAAGAAUGGACAGCGAUAUUGCAUCAAUUGGUCUCCUACUUCAAUUGAUUCCACCAUCAUCACAAGGCUGCAAGGGACCUGGAAAAAUGUCAUCCUGUCAAGCUGAAAAACAUCUUCAAAAAGGCACUAACAAGAACAGCUUGAUUGCAGAGAAGAGACCACACAGCCAUACCUGCUCGCUGAUGGGACCAACAAGGAAAAUCAUUCCUGGAUGAUACACAACUCAAAUCUACAGGUCAUAUUUGUUCAUGCCUAGGUAAAUCUGAUGUUGUUGUGUUUUAUCAAGUACUUUGUUUCUGUGCAACACUUAAUGAA